This 221-nucleotide ribosomal RNA is filed under the name Oxyrrhis marina. Its description in RNAcentral is "partial Bacterial large subunit ribosomal RNA". It matches the Rfam family "Bacterial large subunit ribosomal RNA", at positions 405 to 626 of the family's 2925-position model. The record is from RNAcentral. Lineage: Eukaryota; Dinophyceae; Oxyrrhinales; Oxyrrhinaceae.
GACUAGAGUAGGGCGGGACACGUGAAAUCCUGUCUGAACAUGGGGGGACCACCCUCCAAGCCUAAAUACUCGUACAUGACCGAUAGCGAACUAAGUACCGUGAGGGAAAGGUGAAAAGCACCCCGAUGAGGGGAGUGAAAGAGACCUGAAACCGAACGCCUACAAGCAGUAGGAGCCCCCUUGUGGGGUGACUGCGUACCUUUUGUAUAAUGGGUCAGCGA